CUGGAGGUGGGCUGGGCUGCUCAGUGGGCCCACCCUGCUGGCUCUGGGCUUCGGAGGCCUUAUGGAAGGAGCAAGCUGCUCCCGAGGCCUCAGAGCCCAGCAGCUAGCUACAGGGUUUUUAGCAUCCCGGAACCUGUGCUCAAGACAGCAGCUGCCCAGGGAAGAGAGAUGAAGAAGCUGGAUUCACAUACACAGCAGUGGCUGACCAAGAUGCCAUCACUAGGAAGUAUGAAAACAAAGUUUGAAGCCAGGCGCCUGGCUAUAUCACCACUUCCCAUCCAGCAGCAGGAUAUGGCUCCAGGUCCCAAGUCCCAGGUGGAUUACAUCUCUGCUCGAAUGGGAAGGGAACUCCAGAUCCUCAAGUCCGGGUUGCCUCCCAAGAUGCUGCCCACCAAGGGGAGAAGGCCCCCUGGCCCGGGCCUGACUGCUACAACCAGAAAUAUCCACCAGAUGGCACUCUUUUGCCACUUCCCGUACUCCCAAGUGUUGCCAGAGGUGUCGCCAGAGCUGUCGUCCCUUUCGGCCGAGGUGGAAAACGCGGAGCCGGUGUACCCCAGGCUUUCCCCCUCACUCCCAUACGCAGCAGGACGGUGGGCGUGCCCUUGGUCCCCAAAGACUGCAAUCUCGAGCUUCUCCGAAGUCGGGCUCAUCCCUUCGGGCCUCCAGGCUUCUGUUGGAGGAGCGGACUCCCCUUGGGCGGGGGGGGGCAGUUCUGCUCAGUCCUCAAAUCCACCCUCAUUCACCAGUGAGCCAAAAGUUGGGCUUCACCCGGACUCCAUCGGUUCAGAACAGCGCAGCUCAAGGACCUUUACUAGGAGCCUUCCUAGUAAUAAGCAGAUUCCUCACUACCGCGGACGAGGGAGUCAGGGUCAUUUGUACACACGUGGCGCCUACACACCUGUACACACAGCCCCCCAACCUCGAUGUACUCCCGACAUCCCGCCCUGGACGCCCAGCCAGGGGUCAGCCAAAAGCGGAGAGAAGGGCCAGACCCUGGGACCUAGAACCCUCGGCUAG
Molecule: long non-coding RNA, 1017 nt
Filed under: Vulpes vulpes (red fox)
Lineage: Eukaryota; Metazoa; Chordata; Mammalia; Carnivora; Canidae
Description: lncRNA (ENSVVUG00000000642.1)
Source: RNAcentral